AUGAACGCUAGCGACAGGCUUAACACAUGCAAGUCGAGGGGUAACAGGUAGCAAUACCGCUGACGACCGGCGCACGGGUGAGUAACGCGUAUGCAACCUGCCUAUAACUGGGGAAUAGCUCCCUGAAAGGGGAAUUAACACCGCAUAACACUAUUGAUUCGCAUGGAUUGGUAGUUAAAUGUAGCGAUACAGGUUAUAGAUGGGCAUGCGUGACAUUAGCUAGUUGGUGAGGUAACGGCUCACCAAGGCUACGAUGUCUAGGGGUUCUGAGAGGAAGGUCCCCCACACUGGUACUGAGACACGGACCAGACUCCUACGGGAGGCAGCAGUGAGGAAUAUUGGUCAAUGGGCGCAAGCCUGAACCAGCCAUGUCGCGUGCAGGAAGACUGCCCCCUAUGGGUUGUAAACUGCUUUUAUAGUAGAAGAAACACAUCUACGUGUAGAUGUCUGCCAGUAUACUAUGAAUGAGCAUCGGCUAACUCCGUGCCAGCAGCCGC
This 497-nucleotide ribosomal RNA is filed under the name uncultured bacterium. Its description in RNAcentral is "bacterial SSU rRNA". It matches the Rfam family "Bacterial small subunit ribosomal RNA", at positions 29 to 518 of the family's 1533-position model. The record is from RNAcentral.